Molecule: long non-coding RNA, 729 nt
Organism: Panicum virgatum (switchgrass)
Lineage: Eukaryota; Viridiplantae; Streptophyta; Magnoliopsida; Poales; Poaceae
Exons: 2
Source: RefSeq, a predicted model, not a curated record
UCAGCCCCUCCCUCGCACGGUCCUCUCCCGCAGCCGCGGACUUGGCCAUGCCGCCGCCGAGCUUCCCAGUAGUCCCCGCCGCCGAGCUUUUACUCCUCCGCCGCUGCUGUAGGUGGGCUCAGCCGCCGCCCCCACGAGCCGGAGUCCUGGCAGUGCGGCCUCCGCUGCUGUCUCCUGCUUGCAGCAGGCCGCCGUCGCCACUAGCCCCUGCAGCUCCCACCGGCCGCCGCCGCAGCUCCCGCACGACGCCGAGGAAGGGGACGGGGAGGUGGCGUGCCUUGCCGCCACCUGGGCCCCUCGUACCGACGCUCUGUCCGAUUCAGAUCAGGAGGAUGAAGAAACUGACACGCGGGACCCAUGUGGAAGUGAGGUGAGAGGCUGGUGGGCCAACCUGGGCUUAGUUGGGCUGGUUGGAUAUCUGCUGGGCUAGGGGGUAGAAAGAGUUGGGCUGGCCUUUUAGAAUUGUGGAGUGGAGCCACAGAAUACCCAAAUAGAAUGGAUUAUAAGUGGUGGAGUGGAGUGAAGUUGUUGAGUAGAGUGACUGUUUUGGGAGUGGAGUAUUCCGAAACAGGCCUUUAAUUUCGAGAGGCUCCCCUCUCCCUAAAAAAAGAGCUGCCUUGGCAGCCACCUUCCUAAUUCUUUUCGUCUUCCUCCAUCAGUUUAAUCUUUCUGAACUCGCAUUUUGGUGGUACUCCCCUUAAUUGGAGGUUCUUUACUUUCUUGUGAUCC